RNAcentral lists this long non-coding RNA (1133 nucleotides) under Marmota monax (woodchuck). The record is from RNAcentral. Lineage: Eukaryota; Metazoa; Chordata; Mammalia; Rodentia; Sciuridae.
UGUCAUCACGCCCUACUCCCUGCAUUCACUGUUUAUUAAAUUCCUCUACUGCACCAACAGUUCUUGAAUGCCUACUAUGUGAUUAACAGUGCAAGCCCUCCAGAUGCAAAAUUUCACUGUAUGGUCACUGCCAUGGGGGAGUUCACAUCCUCACACCACAGCAGAGAGAUCUCAGUGUGGCAAUAAGCAGGUGCAGACACAAAGACACCACCAGGCCUUGCCCAUCCUUUGAAGUACAGCUCAAAACUCCAUUCUUCUAAGAUUUCAGAUAUAUUCAUGAUCUGUGUAUUUGUAAAAAUAAUAGAAGUGGGCAGCUUUAAAAACUACUGUUGCUUUUCAUGUCUCUGAAUCUUAAAAGUAGAUGUACCUAUCAUUACAAAAUUUAGAAACACCUUGAAUACCAGUAGAAAAGAAACAGCUAAAUAAAUUACAGUAAAUUAGUGGAAUAUUAAUGUAAUAUUAAAAGUAAUCAUUAAAAAGACCAAGAAGCAAAAAAUUAAACACAUUAUGUGUAUGCAAAAAUACUAAUAUCUACGGAUAUACAUGAUAGAAAUACAAAGCAUGUUGCAGUUAUAAAUUUUUGACAAAACAGAAUUGUGUCCUCUUAAAAUUUCCUUUAAUAUGAUCGUUUUUAUAAUAAACCUAAAUGUAGGAGUAAAAUAAAAUAAAUCAGUUUCUCUGAUUUCCCUUUCCCUAUAUACAGCUCUAUUAUAUAUUUAUAGAUUCAAAUAUAAAUCUAUAAUAAAUAAUAAAUACAUAUAUUAUAGAUUUAAGCAUGCAUAUCUAUAUCUAUAUGCUAAGUCUUUUGUUGUGUGAAUAUGUGUAUAUGUAUGUUGGUUCUCCAUUCAAGAUAGUUUCUAUGGACAGGAGCAGUCCAGCUCAGAAUAAGUAGUGAAGAAAUUCAUCCUAGAGCCUUGGACACAGUUUCUGAAAAUUCUCUUUGUUUUUGUGCUUUCUAUUCCUGAGAGGACAGUAGGUGAUUCCACUACUUCUUCUGAAUACACCUGCAACUGAGAAAAAUGUGGAAAGCACGUCAGCUCUCCUGCAGAGAGAGCCUCCCAGCCUGGCCAGAGGUCUGGACUCCCCGGCUCCCACAUCCAGAGGUAGGUUCUAUGUCUACACUGUGAGAUGAG